RNAcentral lists this long non-coding RNA (520 nucleotides) under Ricinus communis (castor bean). RNAcentral describes it as "long non-coding RNA (RCOM_LNC003754)". Lineage: Eukaryota; Viridiplantae; Streptophyta; Magnoliopsida; Malpighiales; Euphorbiaceae. The record is from RNAcentral.
AAUUUAAUAAAAUCUCAACUUUUGGUUUUUUAAAUUACUUAACAAAAAUAAGAAAAUACAAAAAGCAGCAGCAGGUGUUAUCUUUACUCUAACAAAUAGUUUAUUGAUCGGUCGACAAGGAAACAUGAAAUGGCCAAAAAGUGUGUGUGUGCGCUCGACGGUGAAAGGAAUUGAGUAUUGAAAUUUGAAUUCUAGAAGGCCACAAAAGUCAUCAAAGUGGAAGAAAAGCUGAUUUGUAUCUCACUCAAUCAAAACCGUGGGUGAGAAAAGAAAACAAAAAAUAAAAAAGAAUCAAAUUGAAAGAAUUGAUCCACCGUUUCCUUUUAACAAUUAAUUUAGUUAAUACGUUAAUGUGUUAAAUUAAAAGAAUGGAUUCUAAUUCCUCACUUGUCUAUCUCCAUGGAGUUCCUGAAUGCAUCAACCAUGUCAUCAUUAUAGAAUAUAGAAAAAAGGGUAAUUACUUAAUAACAAAAAAUUAAUGGGUAAUUUUCUUUUUACUUAUUUCUUGUUAUGUAUUUCU